This 511-nucleotide ribosomal RNA is filed under the name uncultured bacterium. Its description in RNAcentral is "bacterial SSU rRNA". It matches the Rfam family "Bacterial small subunit ribosomal RNA", at positions 380 to 882 of the family's 1533-position model. The record is from RNAcentral.
AGCCUGAUCCAGCCAUGCCGCGUGUGUGAAGAAGGCCUUUUGGUUGUAAAGCACUUUAAGCGAGGAGGAGGAGCUUCAGGUUAAUACCCUGGAUGCUUGGACGUUACUCGCAGAAUAAGCACCGGCUAACUCUGUGCCAGCAGCCGCGGUAAUACAGAGGGUGCAAGCGUUAAUCGGAUUUACUGGGCGUAAAGCGUGCGUAGGCGGCUAAUUAAGUCAAAUGUGAAAUCCCCGAGCUUAACUUGGGAAUUGCAUUCGAUACUGGUUAGCUAGAGUAUGGGAGAGGAUGGUAGAAUUCCAGGUGUAGCGGUGAAAUGCGUAGAGAUCUGGAGGAAUACCGAUGGCGAAGGCAGCCAUCUGGCCUAAUACUGACGCUGAGGUACGAAAGCAUGGGGAGCAAACAGGAUUAGAUACCCUGGUAGUCCAUGCCGUAAACGAUGUCUACUAGCCGUUGGGGUCUUUGAGACCUUAGUGGCGCAGCUAACGCGAUAAGUAGACCGCCUGGGGAGUA